GGACGACUUUCCUGGUGGUGAUGGUGGUUGGAUCAUCGGACACAGGUGACAACACGCAGAUGACUAGAUCUCUCAUCCCUUCAAGCUUCCCAUGCUCUGGUUUUUGUAUAUUGGGCUUUGAAUUUUCAUUUCUCAUCACCAAAUCGAACUGCUAUUCAUUGGUUUUAUAAAUUGGAAAACAGAAGACCUCGUACUACACGUGGUUUCCAGUAUACAUCUAAUUGGUAUCAUUGGGAUACAUUCAAUUGACCCUUUAGAAACCCUAUAAAGUUGAGCAAUGAUUAUAAAUGAGUUGAGCUUCUGUUUUCUAAAAAUCUUCAAUUAUAUUG
Molecule: unclassified non-coding RNA, 329 nt
Filed under: Hevea brasiliensis (rubber tree)
Lineage: Eukaryota; Viridiplantae; Streptophyta; Magnoliopsida; Malpighiales; Euphorbiaceae
Source: RNAcentral